This 305-nucleotide ribosomal RNA is filed under the name uncultured bacterium. Its description in RNAcentral is "bacterial SSU rRNA". It matches the Rfam family "Bacterial small subunit ribosomal RNA", at positions 334 to 653 of the family's 1533-position model. The record is from RNAcentral.
GUGUCCUACGGGGCGCAGCAGUGGGGAAUAUUGCACAAUGGGGGGAACCCUGAUGCAGCAAUGCCGCGUGAAGGAUGAAGGUUUUCGGAUUGUAAACUUCUUUUGUACGGGACGAAGAAAGUGACGGUACCGUAAGAAUAAGCCACGGCUAACUACGUGCCAGCAGCCGCGGUAACACGUAGGCGGCAAGCGUUAUCCGGAUUUACUGGGUGUAAAGGGCGAGUAGGCGGGAUUGCAAGUCAGAUGUGAAAACUAUGGGCUCAACCGAUAGAGUGCAUUUGAAACUGUUUUUCUUGAGUACCGGG